Molecule: transfer RNA, 73 nt
Filed under: Stegodyphus mimosarum
Lineage: Eukaryota; Metazoa; Arthropoda; Arachnida; Araneae; Eresidae
Rfam family: tRNA
About the family: Transfer RNA (tRNA) molecules are approximately 80 nucleotides in length. Their secondary structure includes four short double-helical elements and three loops (D, anti-codon, and T loops).
Source: Rfam by way of RNAcentral
ACCUUCGUGGUGUAGUGGUCAACACGUUCGGGGCGUAUUCGAGAGAUCCGUGGUUCGAGUCCCGGCGAGGGCA